CCUACGGGUGGCAGCAGUGAGGAAUAUUGGUCAAUGGCCGAGAGGCUGAACCAGCCAAGUCGCGUGAGGGAAGAAGGUCCUAUGGAUUGUAAACCGCUUUUGUCAGGGAGCAAAGUCACCCACGUGUGGGUGUUGGAGAGUACCUGAAGAAAAAGCAUCGGCUAACUCCGUGCCAGCAGCCGCGGUAAUACGGAGGAUGCGAGCGUUAUCCGGAUUUAUUGGGUUUAAAGGGUGCGUAGGCGGGUUAUCAAGUCAGCGGUAAAAUCGUGGAGCUAAACUCCGUCCAGCCGUUGAUACUGAUGAUCUUGAGUGGACGAGAGGUAUGCGGAAUGCGUGGUGUAGCGGUGAAAUGCAUAGAGAUCACGCAGAACUCCGAUUGCGAAGGCAGCAUACCAACGCCCGACUGACGCUGAAGCACGAAAGCGUGGGGAUCGAACAGGAUUAGAUACCCGUGUAGUC
RNAcentral lists this ribosomal RNA (459 nucleotides) under uncultured bacterium. Its description in RNAcentral is "partial 16S ribosomal RNA". It matches the Rfam family "Bacterial small subunit ribosomal RNA", at positions 338 to 795 of the family's 1533-position model. The record is from RNAcentral.